This 974-nucleotide long non-coding RNA is filed under the name Malus domestica (apple). Its description in RNAcentral is "long non-coding RNA (MDOM_LNC011499)". The record is from RNAcentral. Lineage: Eukaryota; Viridiplantae; Streptophyta; Magnoliopsida; Rosales; Rosaceae.
UUUGCUUGUUUUUGGUGUGAGUAUAUGCUUGAAACAUUGAGGACAAUGUUUGAUUUAAGUGUGGGGGGGGGGUAACCAUUGUUUUGCAUGAAAUUCGUAGAAAUUUAUCACCCAUUACUUCUAGUGUUGUUCCUUGUUGUUUUAAGUAUUUUUUAAGCUGUUUUGGUGUUUUGACAUAAAAAUCCGAAAAUUCAUAAAAAUUUGAAAAAUUGUUUUUGAAAAUCCAAAAAAGAGUUGUUUUUGUGCGCUUAUUUGUGUCUUAGGGUACCUUCCAACACAAUGAUGAGGAUUCGGUUUGUAAUUGCAUGACUGUUAAAGAGAGUUAUAAACAUGGAUGAAAGUUUGAUUUACUCUUUAUUUAUGCGUGGUUGUGGUUAUAACUUAUGAAAUCACAUGUAAUCAUAAAAGAAAAAAAAAUUAGUUUUUGUAACAUGCUUGAAGGAAAGAACUCAAACUAACGCUACAACCUUGUGAGACUUGAGCUUAAACGUUUAUUUGGAGAGUUAAAAUCUGUGCAUUCUUGUUUUCUAAAGUCGUUGCAUGAUCUCAUUAUUCUUUGCUUGGUUAUUACUUAGAAGACGUUUCAUCAUUUAGUUCCAAAUGCUAGAACUCAUGCCUAUUUCAUUCAAAGCAUGCUAUUGAAUUGCAUAAAACAUAUUCAAGAUGAAGUUGUGUAGUUACCACCACCAAAGCCAAACUGCCAUGUAUCCCGUAUCGUUAUAUGUUUAAGUUAACCCCAUUGAGUCUUGAUAGCCUACAUUCUUUGUUAAACCACAUUAUCCUUACCUAGCCUAGUUUAGGACCAUCCAUACCCUUAUUCUUGAAGCAUAGUAAAGCAUGAUUCAAAUUGAAUUUCUUUUGAUUAAUAUGGCAGAAAACAAGUGUGGGGGAAGUGUGAGUUAUUAUGCUUGUUGAAAAGAAAAGAAGAGUUGAAAAAAAAAAAAAAGAGUUGAAAAAUAUGCGAAAAAGAGUUU